AUCUUGUACAACAACUGCAAGACAAAUAACAGGAUCUUCUGCUAAUGUUUUAUGUCCAGCUGACUGUGUUAAAAAUGGAGGAAGUAUUUGGGGAACAAAUGUCUAUACAGAUGAUUCUUCCAUUUGCCCAGCGGCUAUCCAUGCUGGCAUUAUAACCAAUGCUG
Hyla sarda is the source of this 164-nucleotide long non-coding RNA. RefSeq lists it as uncharacterized. The transcript has 3 exons. NCBI's taxonomy places the organism in Eukaryota, Metazoa, Chordata, Amphibia, Anura, Hylidae. The record is from RefSeq and is a predicted model, not a curated record.